CCUUGCUUAUGCAGUGGUUAAGAGUUUGGCUGCUAACCAAAAGGCUGGCAGUUCGAAUCCACCAGCUAGGU
RNAcentral lists this transfer RNA (71 nucleotides) under Loxodonta africana (African savanna elephant). It matches the Rfam family "tRNA". Rfam says of the family: Transfer RNA (tRNA) molecules are approximately 80 nucleotides in length. Their secondary structure includes four short double-helical elements and three loops (D, anti-codon, and T loops). The record is from Rfam by way of RNAcentral. Lineage: Eukaryota; Metazoa; Chordata; Mammalia; Proboscidea; Elephantidae.